This 205-nucleotide long non-coding RNA is filed under the name Elaeis guineensis (African oil palm). RNAcentral's name for it is "long non-coding RNA (EGUI_LNC000749)". The record is from RNAcentral. Lineage: Eukaryota; Viridiplantae; Streptophyta; Magnoliopsida; Arecales; Arecaceae.
AUGCACGUGACGUGUAAAGCGAGGAUAGCUCUAGAAUUAUAUCAUAAGCAAUAAUUAGGAACUCAUUGGGUGGCCGGCGCUCGAUCGGUGACCGGAGAAAUACUGGAUCCAUUUGGGAGGUCGGCACAAGACACGUCCAUGCAUGUUAAGGGUGUGAUUCUUACUCUGACAGCACAAGCUCGAGUUGAAAUUUUACUUCUGAGGC